Molecule: long non-coding RNA, 1008 nt
Organism: Oryzias latipes (Japanese medaka)
Lineage: Eukaryota; Metazoa; Chordata; Actinopteri; Beloniformes; Adrianichthyidae
Source: RefSeq, a predicted model, not a curated record
CAAAGUAAAAUUUAUUCGUUUUGUGAAAGCACAAUUAUUAGGUUGAGUUUGAUGUGCGCAUGCGCACUAAAUGAAAUGCAAAUUUGGCGGGCCGUAUUUCUGCCAUAAUCUGAACUGCUUCUCAGAGCGACAACUCGACAAGUAAGGAAAAACAACAUCAACAAAAAUCAUUGUAUAUUAAUUAGUUCAGUCGUUUUCUCCUUGUACAUUUAAACGAGGAUUUCCUUCACUGCCUGGACACAAUUUUCAGACGACGUUAGUCGGUCCACUACCCCCAGCAGCAGUAAGUUUGUUUGGAAAAGAGGAACUAACCGCCGCCCGGAGACCGACAGCAGCAGCUUAAAGACACUCUUCGGUUUCUGCUCUGCAUCCUGUCUGGAAGCCUUUGACUAACUUUUGAUAAAUGCAGACUUCUUGAGAGUUACAACAAUUACUUUGGAGGCAAAGUUUUUUGCACUGUUGGACAAACACUCCACCAAACUUCUAGAGGUCAUCAGGAGCAAUGGAGGGCGUGUGAAAGAGCAGACCACCAACAUCUUAGAAGUUCUGGAUGAAGGAUUGUUGACAUUACCAUCAGAGGAGAAGCCAUCCUAAAAUCUCUGAUCUACUAGGGUGAAUCUUUUGAGCACCUCAUUAAAGAACACCAGGUAAGGUUAUCCACCUCUCAACUAUGACACUCUUUUAUGAUGUAGGAAAUGGAACAUGGCACUGUAUGGGUUAAGAUCACUGCCAACAAGAAACAUAUUCAUAAAGAUAAAGUUGUGCACAAAUACUAAGACUUUGUGCACAACUUUGCCAAAAAAAAUGAAUACAACAUUUAGUUUGCAUUUGACAUUUCUGUUUUAAAUUUUCUUUGCUUUGAAUACAACUUUUGCUUAACGUUAACAGUCAAAAAUAUGUUAUGGGGUCACAGGCAUAUGUAUCUAAUCCCGAAACAUUGAUAAAGCAAAGUGAGCAUACACAUUGAGGCUUAUUUAUUUAACUAAAACAAAGUUAUACCUUUUAGAG